This 425-nucleotide ribosomal RNA is filed under the name uncultured bacterium. Its description in RNAcentral is "bacterial SSU rRNA". It matches the Rfam family "Bacterial small subunit ribosomal RNA", at positions 355 to 796 of the family's 1533-position model. The record is from RNAcentral.
UUGGGAAUCUUGCACAAUGGGGGAAACCCUGAUGCAGCGACGCCGCGUGGAGGAUGAAGGAUCUAGGUCUGUAAACUCCUUUUGUUGGGAAAGACUUAGGACGGUACCCAACGAAUAAGGACCGGCUAACUACGUGCCAGCAGCCGCGGUAAGACGUAGGGUCCAAGCGUUGUCCGGAUUUACUGGGCGUAAAGAGCGCGUAGGCGGCUUGUUAAGUGUGAAGCUAAAUCUCCAGGCUCAACCUGGAAAUCAUUUCGCAUACUGGCGAGCUAGAGGAAUGCAGAGGUGAAUGGAAUUCCUGGUGUAGCGGUGAAAUGCGUUGAUAUCAGGAGGAACACCCAUGGCGAAGGCAGUUCACUGGGCAUUAUCUGACGCUGAGGCGCGAAAGCGUGGGUAGCAAACAGGAUUAGAUACCCCGGUAGUCC